Molecule: long non-coding RNA, 455 nt
Filed under: Mus spicilegus (steppe mouse)
Lineage: Eukaryota; Metazoa; Chordata; Mammalia; Rodentia; Muridae
Description: lncRNA (ENSMSIG00000006370.1)
Source: RNAcentral
UGGAUGGUGGUAGAGCCGAGAUCUGGGGAAGCGUCCGCUGGAACCGAGGCGCGGGCUCCUAAAAGUUCAAAGGAAAUGAAAUGCUGUUCUUCAGCGGAUGGAGAAGACAAUGAUUACCUAGUUCAAUUGCUUCGCUUUCUACAUGGAAAAAUAGAGCUUGAUUUGGAAGGGGGCUUGCUUUGAGACAGGUAUGGUGCUGUAUGUCUUUAACCCUAUGAGACCAAGAAGCUAUGGAAGCCAUGGCCUGGAGCAAGAGUUUGGGUUGAGGUAUGUCUAAACCCAGAGAUCCUGAGGUAAGCAGGAAUGGGGUCACUCCUCCCCACCCUGCCCCAGGCCUGCAUAUCCCAGCCCACAGAGUCCUUCACCCUCACCUUUUCCCCUCAGAGAAGGUCUCGUAGCCUUGCAACCAGAUGGACUCCUUCUCUUUAUAAGAUUAUGUCCAGAAAUAUCUCAAA